This 457-nucleotide ribosomal RNA is filed under the name uncultured bacterium. Its description in RNAcentral is "bacterial SSU rRNA". It matches the Rfam family "Bacterial small subunit ribosomal RNA", at positions 340 to 786 of the family's 1533-position model. The record is from RNAcentral.
UACGGGAGGUAGCAGGGGGGAAUAUUGCACAAUGGGCGAAAGCCUGAUGCAGCUAUGCCGCGUGUAUGAAGAAGGCCUUAGGGUUGUAAAGUACUUUCAUCGGGGAGGAAAAAACAAAACUAAUAAUUUUAUUUCUUGACGUUACCCGAAAAAGAAGCACCGGCUAACUCCGUGCCAGCAGCCGCGGUAAUACGGAGGGUGCUAGCGUUAAUCAGAAUUACUGGGCGUAAAGAGCACGUAGGUGGUUUUUUUAAGUCAGAUGUGAAAUCCCUGGGCUUAACCUGGAACUGCAUUUUGAAACUGAAAUACUAGAGUAUCGUAGAGGGAGGUAGAAUUCUAGGUGUAGCGGUGAAAUGCGUAGAUAUCUGGAGGAAUACCUGUGGCGAAAGCGGCCUCCUAAACGAAUACUGACACUGAGGGUGCGAAAGCGUGGGGAGCGAAACAGGGAUUAGAUACC